CAGACAUGCUUGGACCAAUCGCUAGUUCAGCCCAAGCCAUUACCCAAGAAACCAAGUCCCUGCAUUGUCCCAUUCUGUUGGUGGAGUGGGACGAUGCAGAGAUGCUUGGGCCAAUCGCUGGUUCGGCCCGGGCCAUUGCCCGGGAAGCGAUGCAGAUCAUGACUGGGAGGCGCGGGCGGAGCGUGAUGGGUGAUAGACCGACAGCCGAGCUCCCCGCGGCAUGGACGUGCGUCUUGGAGGGGUGUGGACGGGUUUGAUUGGGUCUGCUCCUUGGAAGGAUAUACGGGGGCUUUUAUAUCUGCUUUGGGUUGUCUUUGGUUUGUGUUUGA
This 329-nucleotide long non-coding RNA is filed under the name Androctonus crassicauda. The record is from RNAcentral. Lineage: Eukaryota; Metazoa; Arthropoda; Arachnida; Scorpiones; Buthidae.